This 254-nucleotide ribosomal RNA is filed under the name uncultured bacterium. RNAcentral describes it as "partial 16S ribosomal RNA". It matches the Rfam family "Bacterial small subunit ribosomal RNA", at positions 524 to 776 of the family's 1533-position model. The record is from RNAcentral.
UACGAAGGGGGCUAGCGUUGCUCGGAAUCACUGGGCGUAAAGCGCACGUAGGCGGCUUGUUAAGUCAGGGGUGAAAUCCUGGAGCUCAACUCCAGAACUGCCUUUGAUACUGGCAAGCUUGGAGUCCGGGAGAGGUGAGUGGAGCUGCGAGUGUAGAGGUGAAAUUCGUAGAUAUUCGCAAGAACACCAGUGGCGAAGGCGGCUCACUGGCCCGGUACUGACGCUGAGGUGCGAAAGCGUGGGGAGCAAACAGG